GACGAACGCUGGCGGCGUGCUUAACACAUGCAAGUCGAACGGAAAGGCCCUGCUUUUGUGGGGUGCUCGAGUGGCGAACGGGUGAGUAACACGUGAGUAACCUGCCCUUGACUUUGGGAUAACUUCAGGAAACUGGGGCUAAUACCGGAUAGGAUCUCCUGCUGCAUGGUGGUGGUUGGAAAGUUUCGGCGGUUGGGUAUGGACUCGCGGCUUAUCAGCUUGUUGGUGGGGUAGUGGCUUACCAAGGCUUUGACGGGUAGCCGGCCUGAGAGGGUGACCGGCAACAUUGGGACUGAGAGACGGCCCAGAAUGCUACGGGAGGCAGCAGUGGGGAAUAUUGCAGAAUGGGCGGAAGCAUGAUGCAGCAACGCCGCGUGCGGGAUGACGGCCUUCGGGUUGUAAACCGAUUUCGCCUGUGACGAAGCGUGAGUGACGGUAAUGGGUAAAGAAGCACCGGCUAACUACGUG
Molecule: ribosomal RNA, 468 nt
Filed under: uncultured bacterium
Lineage: Bacteria
Description: partial 16S ribosomal RNA
Rfam family: Bacterial small subunit ribosomal RNA
Source: RNAcentral